AGCAGCCGCGGUAAUUCCAGCUCCAAUAGCGUAUAUUAAAGUUGUUGCAGUUAAAAAGCUCGUAGUUGAAUUUCGAGAUCAAAUUGUUGGUCGUGCCUCGGUACGUACUGGCAUUAUUGAUUUCUCCCUUCUGACGAUCCGCGAUGUCAUUAAUUUGGUGUCGUGGGGAAUCAGGACUGUUACUUUGAAAAAAUUAGAGUGUUUAAAGCAGGCUCACGCUUGAAUACAUUAGCAUGGAAUAAUGAAAUAGGACGUUUGAUUCUAUUUUGUUGGUUUCUAGGAUCGACGUAAUGAUUAAUAGGGAUAGUUGGGGGCAUUAGUAUUCAAUUGUCAGAGGUGAAAUUCUUGGAUUUAUUGAAGACUAACUACUGCGAAAGCAUUUGCCAAGGAUGUUUUCAUUAAUCAAGAACGAAAGUUAGGGGAUCGAAGACGAUCAGAUACCGUCGUAGUCUUAACCAUAAACUAUGCCGACUAGGGAUCGGAUGAUGUUAAUUUUUAAUGA
Molecule: small RNA, 502 nt
Filed under: uncultured Glomus
Lineage: Eukaryota; Fungi; Glomeromycota; Glomeromycetes; Glomerales; Glomeraceae
Description: SSU rRNA
Rfam family: Eukaryotic small subunit ribosomal RNA
Source: RNAcentral